UGGCGGACGGGUGAGUAAUGUCUGGGAAACUGCCCGAUGGAGGGGGAUAACUACUGGAAACGGUAGCUAAUACCGCAUAACGUCGCAAGACCAAAGAGGGGACCUUCGGGCCUCUUGCCAUCGGAUGUGCCCAGAUGGGAUUAGCUAGUAGGUGGGGUAACGGCUCACCUAGGCGACGAUCCCUAGCUGGUCUGAGAGGAUGACCAGCCACAUUGGAACUGAGACACGGUCCAG
RNAcentral lists this ribosomal RNA (234 nucleotides) under uncultured bacterium. Its description in RNAcentral is "partial 16S ribosomal RNA". It matches the Rfam family "Bacterial small subunit ribosomal RNA", at positions 96 to 334 of the family's 1533-position model. The record is from RNAcentral.